UAAAAGCUUGGUCCUGGCUUUAUAAUCAGCUUUAACCAAAUUUACACAUGCAAGUAUCAGCACCCCUGUGAGGAUGCCCUUCAUUUCCUUAUGGAAAUAAGGAGCCGGUAUCAGGCACAUCCCUUAUAGCCCACGACACCUUGCUUCGCCACACCCUCAAGGGAACUCAGCAGUGACAAAUAUUAAGCCAUAAGCGAAAGCUUGACUUAGUUAAGGUUUAGAGAGCCGGUAAAACUCGUGCCAGCCACCGCGGUUAUACGAGAGGCCCAAGUUGAUUGAUCCCGGCGUAAAGAGUGGUUAAGAAAAAAAUUUAUCUAAAGUCGAACGCCCUCAGAGCAGUUAUACGCAUCCGACGGUAAGAAGCCCAUAAACGAAAGUAACUUUAUUUUAUCUGACCCCACGAAAGCUAAGAAACAAACUGGGAUUAGAUACCCCACUAUGCUUAGCCCUAAACCUUGGUAGUACAUCACACCAGCUACCCGCCAGGGUACUACGAGCAUUAGCUUGAAACCCAAAGGACUUGGCGGUGCUUUAGACCCACCUAGAGGAGCCUGUCGUAGAACCGAUAUUCCCCGUUAAACCUUACCUCUUCUUGUUUAACCCGCCUAUAUACCGCCGUCGUAAGCUUACCCUGUGAAGGUUAAAUAGUGAGCUUAACUAGUACAACCCAAAACGUCAGGUCGAGGUGUAGCGCAUGAGGAGGAAUCAGAUGGGCUACAUUCCCUUUUUAAGAGAAUACGAAUUAUCCCGUUGAAACACGGAUAUGAAGGAGGAUUUAGAAGUAAGCCGGAAAUAGAGUGUCCUGCUGAAGCUGGCUCUAGAGCGUGCACACACCGCCCGUCACUCUCCCUAAGUUCAUUUAAACGCAUGUUCAUAACACCUUAAACCCACUAAGGGGAGGCAAGUCGUAACAUGGUAAGCGUACCGGAAGGUGUGCUUGGCUAGAC
RNAcentral lists this non-coding RNA (947 nucleotides) under Hypoplectrus gemma (blue hamlet). RNAcentral's name for it is "12S ribosomal RNA". It matches the Rfam family "Bacterial small subunit ribosomal RNA". Lineage: Eukaryota; Metazoa; Chordata; Actinopteri; Perciformes; Serranidae. The record is from RNAcentral.